This is a non-coding RNA of Mycena leptocephala, 88 nucleotides long. Lineage: Eukaryota; Fungi; Basidiomycota; Agaricomycetes; Agaricales; Mycenaceae. The record is from the annotation of a GenBank genome assembly.
GCCCUGGUGGAUCAGCCUCAAAUUGUCCGCUGAAGAUCUCCUCCUGCAAUUUUAGAGGAAGGUGGAGGUUCGAAUCCUCCCUAGGGUG